Long non-coding RNA from Callithrix jacchus (white-tufted-ear marmoset), 4741 nucleotides. The record is from Ensembl. NCBI's taxonomy places the organism in Eukaryota, Metazoa, Chordata, Mammalia, Primates, Cebidae.
CCAUAAAAUCUGCAUUUGUGUAUUCUUUAGCACAGAACACUUCUGAUCUAUAGUAUACUCUUUAUGGGAACUAGAAAUAGGUGAUCUCAGAACCAGAGAGAACUCUGAUUUCGAGAUAGGGAGUUGGCAUCAGUGAGGACCCACCACUGCAAAGUAGCACAGUACAUCCUUCUAACCUCUAGGCUCAAGUCUUGAAUCAUGAAGAAUAAAAAAGAAAGAUAUGGCAGGAAAAAGAGGAUGUGAAAGAGACAGGUUGAUCAUUGUGCAAUGCAUGAUGUACGGAUCAUAUGGGCUUCUUGUUGUGCAGUGUAUAUAUUCUCCACCCAUUUCUGUAAUUUUCCCAAACCAGCUCUGUGAAGGAUUCAGGACCACUACCCCAAAAUAUGGCACCUUUUCCUUUGUGGGAACAACAGAAGCCGAAAGAUUACUCUCAUUUUCCUCUGACCUUUUUCCCUUGAAGCAGAACAUAAAGAAGGAUCUGACCUUCCUCUGAAGGAAAACUUCAUUCCAGAUGUACCCGCCCUAUAUCCAAAGAACAUCUUUAUCUUUAAAGACACAGAGAUGUCAAGAAGAAUCUGAACAGGCCUUGCCAGAUCCCCCAGAUUAUUAAUACUUGAACCAUACUUUUGUACGAUGUCCAUAAAAUACGCAAUUUUUUCCUAUUCCUUUGGGUAUUUAUUCCCAAAAGCUUCUGUGUCAUGUAAAACCUACAUUAAAUAAAUUUGUAUGCUUUUUGCUUGUAUGCUUUUCCCUCAUGUCUUUUGUUAUAAGGGUUUCAGCCAUGCUCCUGGCAAUGGGUGAUAAAAGAAAUCUUUAUUUUCUUUUUGUAAGUAUUCAUUUACAUGUAUUAUCAGUUUCAGGAUGUUUGGAUUUAUUUCUAAAAUUUUGUUUGACAAUUAAAUCUAUCAUCCAUUCAGACAUUAUAAGGAUUUGAAGACCCUUCAACAUAUACUGCUUACUCCCAACUAAUAUAUUCUUGUUAUCAAAUACUUUACUUCUUUUUGUUUUUCUAACCAUGCAAAUUAAAUGACUUCAUAAUCAUCAUCACUAUAUCCUAGAGUAAAUUUUUAUCCACAGUUACCAUUUCUUUUUGUUCAACAUUCCUUCUUCCAUUUUAGACCUUUCUUCAGCAAUUAUUUCCCAACUUACCUGAUGUACCUUUUUUCAAAUAACUUUAAUGAGUAUAUGUUUGCUGUAAAGUUUUUGUCUAAAUAAUGUUUAUUUGACCUUUCUUCUUGAAAGUUAGUUUUGUUAAAUUUAUAAUUAUGGACUAAUAGUUAUUUUUUUCUAAAAACUGAAGAUGUUAUUACUCUGAUUUCUGGCUUUCCUUGUUACUGGAGUGCAGUUGGCCGCAGCUUUGUCUUUUCCCUUUAGCUGCUUUUAAGAUUUUCUCUAUGUGUUUGUUACACUUCAGUUGUGAUUACAAUGUGUCUUUUUGAUGUUUAUUUUUAUUCUUGCUUUAGAUUUAUGGUUUCCCAAGCCAAAGCAUUACUGUCCUAAAGCAAUCUUAAAUGUUUAAAUGUUCCUAAGUAUUUUUUUCCCAUGAUUUCUGGAACUCCAAUUAAAGUGUGUUAAGUCUUUUUAUACCUUAACUCCUUUAUUCUUUUUUCCUUAUUGUGUUUCUUUUCAACUCCUGUCUGAAUUCUGGGUUAUUUCUUUAGAUCUUUCUUUUAGUUAAUUAAUCAUCUCUUCAGAGGUGCCUAAACUGUUUAACCCAUUCAAUAUAUAUUUUAUUUAUUUAUUUAUUUAUUUUUGAGACGGAGUUUCGCUCUUGUUACCCAGGCUGGAGUGCAAUGGCGUGAUAUCGGCUCAUCGCAACCUCCGCCUCCUGGGUUCAGGCAAUUCUCCUGCCUCAGCCUCCUGAGUAGCUGGGAUUACAGGCACGUGCCACCAUGUCCAGCUAACUUUUUGUAUCUUUAGUAGAGAUGGGAUUUCACCAUGUUGACCAAGAUGGUCUCGAAAUCUCGACCUCAUGAACCACCCACCUCGGCCUCCCUAAGUGCUGGGAUUACAGGCUUGAGCCACCGCGCCCGGCCCUUCAAUAUAUAUUUAAUUUUAUCUGUUGUAUUUUCUAGUUCUAAAACUUCUCUUUGAUUCUUUUGUAAAUGUUACUGACAAUUUCUAAUAGUCGCUUCCCCCACCCUUUCAUAUUUUCCAUUUCUUUUUCCAAUUCCUUAAACAUGUUAAAUAUUUUUUCUUGAUUUGUAUUCUAAAUCUUUUAAUUCUAGUCUUUGCAUCCUUCAAAGAUAGACUUUCGUUUAAACUUCAUAUAAUUAUGUCAGUUUGUAACUUAUUAUUUCUAUUUCAAGAUAAGAAAAACUAAAGUGAGGAAUGCUAGAUAAUUUACCAAUGUCAAAAAUUUAAUAAACAUGUGGGUUAGUAUUUCAACUCUGAUUUGCUUGACCUCAGAAAUGCUUUUGGUGUGAUCAUACUUGAGUCUUCCAGUCAUUAUUGAUUGAGCAACUAAUAUAUGUACUAAUAUGUCUCAUACUAAACUCUGAGUGUAUUGAGUGUGGGAAUAAUUGUAUAUUUAAUACUAUAUCCCAUGCAUUUAUUAAAAAGCAUAGAGACUUGGAGACAAUAUUUACAAGGUAACAUGGCCAAUCGUUGUCAUAGAAUCUUGUUUCUGGAUCCCCUAUUAUUACAGACUGAGUUCAUUUGUAGGAUCAGUUAAUAUUUGGCUCAUUAACCCCAGACCACCUCUGUAGUAGGAUGUGAAGGCUAAUAAUCCUAUGCACAAUUACGGAAUAUCUUUGGUGUCUUCAUUUAUAUUUAGUUCCAUCCCACUACUCUUAGGUUGUGGUGUUGGCUGUGUCUUUCUUUACCUUUAUUUAUUUGGAUUUUUGUGGUAGUUCAUUCAUGAAUGCUAAUCUCUUUCAUUUUGUUCCAGUUCAUCCUGGACGUGACUACAGCAUUAUUCUCUCUAAAGUGUAGCUUUUAUUGUAAAGCUCCUUGACUCAAAAACUUUCAGUGUUAUCUGUCUAUUGCUUAUAUUACGCUGUCUAAAAUCUUUCCAUUGGUAUUCAUACCAGUCUUUAGUAUGGUUCGAGUUUUCUAUUUCAAGCUUAAUUCUCUCUACCCCCUAUAUAAUGACAACAGCUAACACUUAUUAUGCACUUUCCCUUAGAAGACUGGUAUGCAUCAUGUCACUUAAUAUUUGCAACAAAUCUAGUGAUAUGUACAAUUAUCCUUGUUUUGCACAUGAGGACCCUAAGGCUUAAGAGAGUUUGCACAAGUUCACGCAACUAAUAAGAGGUCAAAAUGAAAUUUGAAUCCAGACAGUCUCACUCCAGAGCUGAUGCUAUAAAUUACCAACUGAACAUUGCUUACUUACAUCUCAUUCCCUAUCCCAGAACCAAAAGGGAUAAUUCAUUGUGUCUCAAACUUACAUUACACUUUUUUUUGCUUAUAUUUUAUCUUUUGCAAUGCUGCAUGAGUCACAUGACAAAACCUAACACACACCCAGUUUAAAUUUUAUUUUUUAUUUCUUACAAAUCUUCCCUCAUUUUUCAACUCUUAAAAUAUUACAUGUUCCUCUUGCUGUCACAGAAACAUUUAUUUCAGUGAUCUUUCGAUGUGCCUUGCCUCUCUGGUUGUGGCUCAGGGAUCAGUGUUUUGAGGGGAGAUGAUGACUUUAGUUCUCUUUCAGCAGUUAGCAUGAUGGAUGUAUUACUCCAUUUUUGCACUGCUAUAAAGAUAGUACCUGAGACUGAGUAAUUUAUAAAGAAAGCAGUUUAAUUGACUCACAGUUCUGCAUGGCUGGGGCGGCCUCAAGAAACUUAACAAUCAUAACAUAAGGCAAAGGGGUAGCAGGCAACUUCUUCAAAAUAAGCAGGACAGAUAGAGAGGAUGCAGGAAAAACUGCCACUUUUAAACGAUCAGAUCUCAUGAGAACUCUCUAUCAUGAAAAAAAAAUAGGGGAAACUGCCUCCAUGAUCCAAUCACCUCCUACCAGGCCUUCCCUCCACAUGUGGGGAUUACAUAUUGGAGAAGAGUUUUGGGUGGGGACACAGAGCCAAACUUUAUCACCUGGGAUUUGAAUUAGCAGAAAGACGUUUGGACGCUGCUUUUGCCACUUCGUAGGUAGAUGAUUUUGAGAAAGCUGUUGUGAACACUCUCCAAGUUUCUGUUGCAGGAUUUGUCCCUAGUUCAGCUAAAGAUGGGGUUCCUGUCUGGCCCAUGGCCACAAAAAUUUAGGCUCUCAGAGACUUAAAGGGUGAGUAAAGCAGGGUUUUAUUGGGUGAAAGGGGAAAACGGGAACCACGAGUGAGUCUGAGAGAAUGCUUCCCACCCGGCAGUUUGAAUCCCAGGUUCCACGUAGGAAGAGGCGGGGCCGGGGCACGAACUUCCCGAGGCUCCACCUCAUUGCGCAGGAUCGUUGCAGUUUCUCCAGGGACCCCUUCCAACUUGGCUGACUAAUUUCCUCACCCAUGAAAUGAAGAGGCUGAGCUACCUCAGAGGGCUGUAAUGAGAGAGCAACAGAGUAAUGCAGGUAAAUCUGAUGGCAGGUAAGUGGUGUAUCUCAGUGCUACCUUCUGUCCUAGUCCCACUUAGUUCAAGCGCAGGCCCUUGUUUAUAUUGGGUAUGUAGUAAACAAGUUGUAAGAGUGAAUGAAUCUCCACUGAGUCUCACUGACAAACUCCAUGAGUGUGUUCUGCUACUGCAAUUUUUGCAUGGGAUUUUCCUGAUGUUUGCCCCUCCUCUCAAAUAAAAACUGCCAACUAUGUGGCACAUUUUUAAG